GAUGGCUUGCCAGAGCCUGGCCUAUUGGGCGGGUCUGCAAAACCCGAUUCCGUGCGUUCAAAUCGCACAGCCAUCUCCA
This 79-nucleotide transfer RNA is filed under the name Nitrososphaerota archaeon. RNAcentral's name for it is "tRNA-Cys". It matches the Rfam family "tRNA". From Rfam's summary of the family: Transfer RNA (tRNA) molecules are approximately 80 nucleotides in length. Their secondary structure includes four short double-helical elements and three loops (D, anti-codon, and T loops). The record is from RNAcentral. Lineage: Archaea; Thermoproteati; Nitrososphaerota.